This 4415-nucleotide long non-coding RNA is filed under the name Medicago truncatula (barrel medic). RNAcentral's name for it is "long non-coding RNA (MTRU_LNC000054)". The record is from RNAcentral. Lineage: Eukaryota; Viridiplantae; Streptophyta; Magnoliopsida; Fabales; Fabaceae.
AACAAUUUAGGUGUUCCUCUUUUCUCUUCUCUUGGAGCACAAAAAAGGUUACAAGUAAUUAAUAACCGAAAGACUAAACCAUGAAAUCUCUUACCUUAAUCUUCACAUUCUCCAUCAUUGCUACCUUCUCACAUGCAACACCAUCAUUAUUGGUCACUCUCCUUCAUACCCAACAAGUAAAUAAAUUUUAUAUUCUCAUCUUUAUUUUUAUUUUGAAAUAUUAAUCCAAAGAAGGGAAUACCCUUUAAUUCAAAAUUAUUAAAAAUCAUUUGAACAACAAUAUAGCGUACACAUGAAUGUAUACAUUAUUGAAUCUUAAAUAAAAGGCUUUAUGUACGUAUUAUAUAUAUAUAUAUAUAUAUAUAUAUAUAUAUAUAUAUAUAUGCAUGUUUCAGAUUAAUGAGACUGCACUAUCAAGUGGUAGCUGUAUUUACAAGAUCAUCAUAACAACAAGCUGCAGUUCUCCAAGACUUACAACAGAUGCAAUCGAUAUUUUAAUUGGAGAUGCUGAUGGCACUCAGGUUCUUUUCUCUAUCUAAGAAUAUAAUUUAACCAUAUAAUUAAUAUAACCAUAUAUACAUAAGAGAAAUACAAUUAGAUGACCACGUUCUCUCGCUCUUUGAUACAAUGUUUGUAUAAAAUAACAAUAAAAGUUCAAGUUUACUUAUAUGAGUUUAUCAACCGACAUAAGUAUUUGCGAGUUAAGAACACAUCUUAUAAUAUGUCCAUGACCUAUAUUUUCAGCUUAUUCGCACAAGUUUUUCAUGAUAUAGCCUAUGAAAAUAAUAGAUUAAAACUAAUAUGAAAACACAUAUCUUUAUAUAAUUUGCAGAUUUUUGCAAGUCCAGAUCCUAACACGGGGUUGUUCAAGCAGUGUGCGACGGAUAUAUUUGCAGUACAUGCAGAUUGUAUAGGAAAAAUCUGCAAUAUGCACUUUGUUAGUGUUGGAAGAGAUGGUUGGAUACCAGAGACCGCCAUCGUAUACCACCGUGACUACCCUCCUAUCACCUUCAACUUCGACUCUUUCCUUCCUUCAGGUGGUCCCUUUGGCGUCAAUUAUUGCGAACACUAUUAAUUACUAGAAUUAAUUAAUAUGCUUAUUAUAUUUCGUCAAAGAUCAAAUGUCAAGAAGCAUAUAGAAGCAGUGUAAUACGUAUUAGGGCUAGCUAGGUAGGCUCGAAUAAGGUUCCUUUCUAAUUACUGUUUGUUUUUACCAGCUAAUAACUGUUUUAAUACGGAAGAAAAACUAAGAAAUAAACAAAUUUCUUUAAAAAAUAUAUUGAAUGAUCAAGUUACAUUUUUUUAUGAGAUUUACAUUAGUCUCUUACACUGUCCACAAAAAAAAAAACUUAGUCUCUUACACUACAUAUAGAGACUAAUUUUAGUUAAUUGCAUAGAACUAUAAUAUUUUAAUAUAACAAAUUCUAGUAUCUCUUCUUCUCCCAUCGUCCUAUACUGCAACUUCAUCAAAAAAUGCAACUAAUUACAGCUUUGAUAUUGUGAAAGUUUUGUUUUGUUUGGAGAACGUUUAAUUUUAGCUAAGAAAGGCUUGAUGUAGUAAAACUUUUAAAAGUGUACGGAGUAAUUUUUUUUUUCAAUACAAAAUUUACUUUUUUUUUAGGGAAAAAAUUGACUUGUUUUGUUUCAUUAACUAAUGUCUCGAAGUGUAACAAAAAAAAAAACUAAUGUCUCGAAUACACUAAUUAGCAUGACCCUUAAUCAUAUAACUACACAUAGGAGAAAUACAAUUUGAUGAGUUAAAAUCGCUCUUAUUUUGUUGAACAAAUAAUUAGCUCAAUUUUAAAAUUUACGAUAUUGAUGCUAUUUUUUUAAGGUUAAUUAAGCAAAUGGUCUCUAUAAAUAUUCAGAAUUUUGUUUUUAGUCCCUACACAAUAAAAUCACACAUUUUAGUUCCUGUAACAUUUUGCUUUGGAAUUUUACGGACCAAAAAUGUUGGCGCAAAAUUUUUACAGGGACUAAAAAUACUAAUAAAAAAUUUACAAGGAAUAAAAAUGUUGAUAGACAAUUUUACAGGGACUAAAAAGUAAAUUUUUAUUUUUUGGCGACUAAAAAUGAAAUUCUGAAUAUUUAUAGAGACCGUUUAGUUAACUAGCCUUUUUUUAUUACACUGAUUCUAAUUUAUUAUUACACCCUCCGUUUCUAAUCGAUUGUUACCAUUAAAUAGUAUAGAAUAUUAUUUGAACUUCUUCGUCUCAUAUAUAAUUAAUUGUUUUUAUGAGGGGAAGACAAAAAUGUAUUAUGUGCUCUUUUUACUUUAAUCGUUGUUUUAUUCCAUUGAAUUUUUCUGGUAAGGUUUUUAACGAUGCAUAUUCUUAAACAAAAGGAUUAUGUGAUCUUUAUCCUUCACUAGAACUUUUUUUCCACUAGGUUUUUCUCCAGAAAAGUUUUAAUGAGACAUCCUCGAUGAAAUUCCAAGAGGGGUGUUAUGAAUAUUAUAAGUGGAUGUCCAUUUAAUAUUUUUUUUUGAACAAGCCAAAAUGAAUUAUAUUAACAUUGCCUGUAUAAUUACUUCAGCACAAGGCGUGCCAAAACAAUCACGAAAAGAACAACAAGUAUGAUAAAAUUUACAAAAAACUAGUCGAUGCCCAAACACAAAAGAGGGCUCGACCACCACGAAUGAGUACCAAAACUAAAGGUAGCAUUAUUAGCUUUCAACCACCACAAAGAAUAUGAUUUUACUUUAUCUAACAGGUGUGGUAUAAAGCUUUCUCGGUUCCUAAAUAACUUAUUAUUUCGUUCUAUCCAUUUAAUUAUUGGAUUACUAGGCUAUACUAUUGGAUCAAGUUAAACCAUUAAAAUUAUCUGCUAAGUAACACUGUUAUGCCUAUAUCCUAGUCACACAUUUGUACUUAUCUAUCAAGUCAUAUCAUUGUACUUCUUUGUAAAUAAAGAUCAAAUGUAAGGGAAUAAAAAAAUCUUGUUCUUUUUGUUCUUAUUCUAAAAGUUUCAUAACAAUUUUGAUACAAUAGAGGAGGUGUAAUUCAAGCUUUCAUUUGUUGCUUUUGUUUGUGUUUUGUUUUUUUUUCCUUUUCAUUUCUCAUUUUUUUUAUUUGAGUUAGGUUAACGUCGACUCAAGUUUUUCCCUCAUUAUUUUAAUGUAUAUUGGCAAAAUUGAUCAUACAAUCGUGUUGGAAUUGAGUGACUUUGUAGAUGAAAAGUCGUCAUGGUUUCCGCUCUAUCUUUUUUCUAUAUUACACUCUCUCUAAUUUUUAUUUUCUUUCAUCUUUCUCUCUCAUAAAACACCCUAAAAUACAUUAAAAUCACCAUACAUUUCCUUCCAUAAACACUCACUCUCAUUCUUUUGUAGUCUCUUAACUUAAUUUGAAGUAAUGUUAAGUAUUUAUCUUUUUUCUUUCUUUCCAUAAUAUUGAGUUAAAUUAUUUUACUAACUUAUAACUUUUCUUUUAUAGGUCAAUAGGUCAAUAUUCAAGUAGCUUACCACUUAUCAAAUUUUUCUUUUAAUUUUGCCCUUGUCAUCUCAAUUGAAAAAAAAAAAACAUAAUUUUUUAUGUCAUUUCAUAAAUUAUCAGAUAACAAAUUUCAAAUAUCUUCUAUAAAUUCAUUCGUUUUAACUCAAAUUUAUCAAUUAUUCACCAUUUUCAUCAAACAUAGCCUUAGGGGUCAACAUGCUCGAAUAUAAUUACUUUCAGCAAAGGAAUCUAUGAUCUUUAAAAAAAAAAAAGCAAAGGAAUCUAUGAAAAAUCCAAAAACUAAAAUAAAAAUGAAUGAACCAAAUAACUUUUUUUUUUUUGAACAGACGAACCAAAUAAUUAAUUAGUCUGUGAUCUUUCGGUAAAGCAAAGAAUUAGUGAAUUGCAUUCCUACCACACCAAUUGGCAAUUUGUUCUUCCAUGAAGCCAAUAAGUUUAUUUAUUUUUAUAUGAAUGAAGGCAUUAUAGUGUCGAAAGACAUAUAUUUAUUUUGUGGUAAGGAUUUGAACUCCGGAUCUUUUAUAUAUAUAUAUAUAUAUAUAUAUAUAUAUAUAUAUAUAUAUAUAUAUAUAUAUAUAUAUAUAUAUAUAUAUAUAUAUAUAUAUGUUUGGGAAGUCCAUAUUAGAUACUAAUAAACCAAUUAAACCAUGAAUUCUCUUACCUUAAUCUUCACAUUCUUCAUCGUUGCUGCCUUCACAAAUGCAACACCAUCAUUGGUCUCUCGCUCUCAACUUCAAAUGAACCAAUAUUCCAUGCUUAACCAUACCCAACAACAAGUUAAUACAUUUUAUAUUCUCAUCUUUAUUUUUACUUUGAAAUAUUAAUUCAAACAAGGGAAUACCCUUUUGUCAACACAAAAGAAUUUAAAAAAAUCGAUAAAUCAUAAUACAAUGAACAUGAUCAUUUGUUCAUGCAGUUUGAACAAAUAUACAUAACUGUAGUUUCGUAUUAUGCAUGUUUCAG